UACCAGCACCCCGAGUGGUCGGGACGUUUUAUUGGGCCUAAAGCAUCCGUAGCCGGUUCUACAAGUCUUCCGUUAAAUCCAACUGCUUAACAGGUGGGCUGCGGAAGAUACUAUAGAGCUAGGAGGCGGGAGAGGCAAGCGGUACUCGAUGGGUAGGGGUAAAAUCCGUUGAUCCAUUGAAGACCACCAGUGGCGAAGGCGGCUUGCCAGAACGCGCUCGACGGUGAGGGAUGAAAGCUGGGGGAGC
RNAcentral lists this ribosomal RNA (247 nucleotides) under uncultured bacterium. RNAcentral describes it as "partial 16S ribosomal RNA". It matches the Rfam family "Archaeal small subunit ribosomal RNA", at positions 474 to 720 of the family's 1478-position model. The record is from RNAcentral.